CUUCACAGAGGAAGACUCUGAAAGGCAAGGUUGGCAAACCUAAAAGAACAUCAUCAUGCUUUCAAACCAACAUAAGUGUGACACGUGUUGCCAGAGAGAGAACCUAAAAUCUACCACUGAUACUGACAAAC
Molecule: long non-coding RNA, 131 nt
Filed under: Ictidomys tridecemlineatus (thirteen-lined ground squirrel)
Lineage: Eukaryota; Metazoa; Chordata; Mammalia; Rodentia; Sciuridae
Description: lncRNA (ENSSTOG00000029762.1)
Source: RNAcentral